AUAACCCCGUGAAAACGGGACUAAUACUGGAUAAUGUCCCUUUGGCUGUGGCCUUAGGGAUGAAAGGUGACCUCUUCAUGAAAGUUGCCGUUCAAAGAGGGGCCCGCGUACCAUUAGCUUGUUGGUGGGGUAACGGCCUACCAAGGCUACGAUGGUUAGCUGGUCUGAGAGGAUGAUCAGCCACACUGGAACUGGAACACGGUCCAGACUCCUACGGGAGGUAGCAGUGAGGAAUUUUGCGCAAUGGGGGAAACCCUGACGCAGCAACGCCGCGUGAGUGAUGAAGAUUUUCGGAUCGUAAAGCUCUGUCAAGCGGGAAAAAAAUUCUUUCGGUCAAUAGCCGAAAGAACUGAUGGUACCGCUGGAGGAAGCACCGGCUAACUCCGUGCCAGCAGCCGCGGUAAUACGGAGGGUGCGAGCGUUGUUCGGAUUUACUGGGCGUAAAGAGCGUGUAGGUGGUUUAACAAGUCAGAUGUGAAAGCCCUGGGCUCAACUCAGGAAGUGCAUUUGAAACUGUUUUUCUAGAGUAUGGGAGAGGAGAGUGGAAUUCCCAGUGUAGAGGUGAAAUUCGUAGAUAUUGGGAGGAACACCGGUGGCGAAGGCGACUCUCUGGACCAAUACUGACACUGAGACGCGAAAGCGUGGGGAGCAAACAGGAUUAGAUACCCUGGUAGUCCACGCCGUAAACGAUGAGAACUAGGUGUAGCGGGUAUUGACCCCUGCUGUGCCGCAGCUAACGCAUUAAGUUCUCCGCCUGGGGAGUACGGCCGCAAGGCUAAAACUCAAAGGAAUCGACGGGGGCCCCACAAGCGGUGGAGCAUGUGGUUUAAUUCGACGCAACGCGAAGAACCUUACCUGGAUUUGACAUCCUCUUGCAGCCCUGGAAACAGGGUUUAUCCGACUUGUCGGAUGAGAGUGACAGGUGCUGCAUGGCUGUCGUCAGCUCGUGUCGUGAGAUGUUGGGUUAAGUCCCGCAACGAGCGCAACCCUUGUCUCUAGUUGCCAGUAUUAAGUUAGGGACUCUAGAGAGACUGCCUCGGUUAACGGGGAGGAAGGUGGGGAUGACGUCAAGUCCUCAUGGCCUUUAUAUCCAGGGCUACACACGUGCUACAAUGGGCUGUACAAAGGGUAGCUAACUCGCGAGAGUACGCCAAUCCCAAAAAGCAGUUCUCAGUUCGGAUUGGAGUCUGCAACUCGACUCCAUGAAGUUGGAAUCGCUAGUAAUCGUGGAUCAGCAUGCCACGGUGAAUACGUUCCCGGGCCUUGUACACACCGCCCGUCACACCACGAAAGUCGACUGUACCAGAAGUUGCUGGGCUAACCCUUCGGGGAGGCAGGUACCCACGGUACGGCCGGUAAUUGGGGUGAAGUCGGGACAAGGUA
RNAcentral lists this ribosomal RNA (1383 nucleotides) under metagenome. RNAcentral describes it as "bacterial SSU rRNA". It matches the Rfam family "Bacterial small subunit ribosomal RNA", at positions 143 to 1498 of the family's 1533-position model. The record is from RNAcentral.